UCAAGCUAUAGUUUAAUUAAAAUAUUAGUUUUGGGUACUGAAGAUGUUUUUUGCUAGCUUGAA
This 63-nucleotide transfer RNA is filed under the name Marcia japonica. RNAcentral describes it as "tRNA-Pro". Lineage: Eukaryota; Metazoa; Mollusca; Bivalvia; Venerida; Veneridae. The record is from RNAcentral.